Molecule: ribosomal RNA, 288 nt
Filed under: uncultured bacterium
Lineage: Bacteria
Description: partial 16S ribosomal RNA
Rfam family: Bacterial small subunit ribosomal RNA
Source: RNAcentral
AACGAACGCUGGCGGCAGGCCUAACACAUGCAAGUCGAACGAGAAGCUACCUUCGGGUAGUGGAAAGUGGCAGACGGGUGAGUAACGCGUGGGAAUAUACCUAGAGGUACGGGACAACGCCGGGAAACUGGUGCUAAUACCGUAUACGCCCUUCGGGGGAAAGAUUUAUCGCCUUUAGAUUAGCCCGCGUUAGAUUAGCUUGUUGGUGAGGUAAAAGCUCACCAAGGCGACGAUCUAUAGCUGGUCUGAGAGGAUGAUCAGCCACACUGGGACUGAGACACGGCCCAG